This 1037-nucleotide ribosomal RNA is filed under the name Salmonella enterica. RNAcentral's name for it is "partial 16S ribosomal RNA". It matches the Rfam family "Bacterial small subunit ribosomal RNA", at positions 1 to 1027 of the family's 1533-position model. RNAcentral also lists the same sequence under 1 other name. The record is from RNAcentral. Lineage: Bacteria; Pseudomonadati; Pseudomonadota; Gammaproteobacteria; Enterobacterales; Enterobacteriaceae.
AAAUUGAAGAGUUUGAUCAUGGCUCAGAUUGAACGCUGGCGGCAGGCCUAACACAUGCAAGUCGAACGGUAACAGGAAGCAGCUUGCUGCUUCGCUGACGAGUGGCGGACGGGUGAGUAAUGUCUGGGAAACUGCCUGAUGGAGGGGGAUAACUACUGGAAACGGUGGCUAAUACCGCAUAACGUCGCAAGACCAAAGAGGGGGACCUUCGGGCCUCUUGCCAUCAGAUGUGCCCAGAUGGGAUUAGCUGGUUGGUGAGGUAACGGCUCACCAAGGCGACGAUCCCUAGCUGGUCUGAGAGGAUGACCAGCCACACUGGAACUGAGACACGGUCCAGACUCCUACGGGAGGCAGCAGUGGGGAAUAUUGCACAAUGGGCGCAAGCCUGAUGCAGCCAUGCCGCGUGUAUGAAGAAGGCCUUCGGGUUGUAAAGUACUUUCAGCGGGGAGGAAGGUGUUGUGGUUAAUAACUGCAGCAAUUGACGUUACCCGCAGAAGAAGCACCGGCUAACUCCGUGCCAGCAGCCGCGGUAAUACGGAGGGUGCAAGCGUUAAUCGGAAUUACUGGGCGUAAAGCGCACGCAGGCGGUCUGUCAAGUCGGAUGUGAAAUCCCCGGGCUCAACCUGGGAACUGCAUUCGAAACUGGCAGGCUUGAGUCUUGUAGAGGGGGGUAGAAUUCCAGGUGUAGCGGUGAAAUGCGUAGAGAUCUGGAGGAAUACCGGUGGCGAAGGCGGCCCCCUGGACAAAGACUGACGCUCAGGUGCGAAAGCGUGGGGAGCAAACAGGAUUAGAUACCCUGGUAGUCCACGCCGUAAACGAUGUCUACUUGGAGGUUGUGCCCUUGAGGCGUGGCUUCCGGAGCUAACGCGUUAAGUAGACCGCCUGGGGAGUACGGCCGCAAGGUUAAAACUCAAAUGAAUUGACGGGGGCCCGCACAAGCGGUGGAGCAUGUGGUUUAAUUCGAUGCAACGCGAAGAACCUUACCUGGUCUUGACAUCCACAGAACUUUCCAGAGAUGGAUUGGUGCCUUCGGGAAC